AGUGGCGGAAGGGUCAGUAAUACGAUCGAACGUGCCCGAGGUGGGGGAUAGCGGCGGGAAACUGCCGGUAAUACCCCAUGAUCUCCCCGGAGCAAAGGCUUGCCGCCUUGGGAUCGGCGAUCGUCCUAUCAGCUAGUUGGCGGGGUAAAGGCCCACCAAGGCGACGACGGGUAGCGGGUGUGAGAGCAUGGCCCGCGACAUCGGGACUGAGACACUGCCCGGACUCCUACGGGAGGCUGCAGCGACGAAUCUUCCGCAAUGGGCGAAAGCCUGACGGAGCAAUGCCGCGUGCGGGAUGAAGCGGCUACGCCGUGUAAACCGCUGUUAGGGAAGAGAACCAACGAUCAUUGAUCAUUCCCAGAGGAAGAGGCGACUAACUCUGUGCCAGCAGUCGCGGUAAUACAGAGGCCUCGAGCGUUAGUCGGAAUUACUGGGCUUAAAGGGUGCGUAGGCGGGUCGGUAAGUGCUGUGUGAAAGCCCUCGGCUCAACCGAGGAACUGCACGGCAUACUGCCGACCUUGAGGCAGGUAGGGGCGGGCGGAACAGUAGGUGGAGCGGUGAAAUGCGUAGAGAUCUACUGGAACGCCGAUGGUGAAGACGGCCCGCUGGACCUGUCCUGACGCUGAGGCACGAAAGCGUGGGGAGCAAACAGGAUUAGAUACCCUGGUAGUCCACGCCGUAAACAAUGCGCACUGGACCGGGGCG
This 705-nucleotide ribosomal RNA is filed under the name uncultured Planctomycetales bacterium. RNAcentral describes it as "bacterial SSU rRNA". It matches the Rfam family "Bacterial small subunit ribosomal RNA", at positions 94 to 828 of the family's 1533-position model. The record is from RNAcentral. Lineage: Bacteria; Pseudomonadati; Planctomycetota; Planctomycetia; Planctomycetales.